Molecule: long non-coding RNA, 627 nt
Organism: Talpa occidentalis (Iberian mole)
Lineage: Eukaryota; Metazoa; Chordata; Mammalia; Eulipotyphla; Talpidae
Exons: 3
Source: RefSeq, a predicted model, not a curated record
UUAUGGGUGCUUUGGUGGUGGGUGUGGUAUGGGGGACACACAAUCUCUGCCACUCCUCCCGUUUGGGGCUGGCCAUGGGACCUGUCUUGACCCAAAGAAUGUGAAGUGUUACUGGGACUCUUCCUAGGUGGCCUGGAAAGUGCAGGUUUUCUCUCCUCUUUGAACACGGCCUCCGAUACCAGCUGCCUUGGGGCUCCAGGAGUGCCGUUCUGUGGAAGACCUUGCUUCAUCUGCUGUUCUUCGGCAGCGAGGCCAUGUCUAUGGCUCAGCUGCCACCGCUGUGCCCUUAAGAGUCCGUUGGACUCCUUCAGGUUUCCAGAUGCUUCUUCUCACAGAUUAAACACAGCAUGAUGUAGACACUUAAAAUAAUACUCACCGCCAUGGAGCCAAGAAAAAGCUACUUUGAGCUCUAACUGCCUAUCGCCUGAAGAAUCAGGGUCCAGGGAAUUUUCUGUCGCUAUUAAAGGUGUGAUUCUCUGAAGCCAUUUGGAAACAACCUAGGUUCUCAGCAGCAACACAUCUACCUGGUACUGUGUCAAAGCACAUCAAAUGGCUGGCAUUCCAAACCUCAAACAGGUUAUUUCUCAUUAUGUGAAUACAUAAUAAAAGGAUGUGGGCAAAGAAUAG